This is a long non-coding RNA of Lingula anatina, 2806 nucleotides long. NCBI's taxonomy places the organism in Eukaryota, Metazoa, Brachiopoda, Lingulata, Lingulida, Lingulidae. The record is from RefSeq and is a predicted model, not a curated record.
GGCACUUUGCUGAGAGGUAUUCAGAUAGGACCAAGGUCAGUUGGAAAAGAAGGAAGUCUCACUGCUACAAUUUCCACAUGUAGGCCGAAAUUCUGGCACUGAAACUGCAGCAGUCUGUUAGGGAACUCAUUUGCCAAUAAAGAAGCAAGAAGAUUAUUCCAGUUGUCCAGAGACAUGUUAUUCCAUCUUAAACAAAGCAAGACGACAAGGCAGUGACUCUUAACUACCGUUUAUAAAAAUGGAUUGGCCCCCAACAAAGAUAUUCACUUCGUGUUCGACAGCGCCCGUACCCAUGUCAAGAUUGUCUCGCUUGCCGAAGUUUGUCUUAUAGUUAAUAUGCAGGGUUGACAUUUGAUUUGGUUUGAAAUGUAAUGUUUGCUUUGGGUUGCUAUAGGCCUAAUCUGCAUCAAAUUGUGCAACAAAUGAAGUGCAGUGUGUAACGAGUGUUUUUUUUCAUGAAACUUCUGAUAAAAAUGGACUAAAUACAAGCGUCAACCCUGCAUAUCGCGUUACUACCUGUAAGUUGUACUACGGUACUCUAUCCACACUUGAUGUUUUUAUUGUAAUUUAUUUAUAAAUUUUGUUUAUACUCUCCAGUUCUCAAGCCCGAAACAGACAAUUUGAAUGCUCCUUAAACAGAAAUAAUGUCGUUGAAAACAUUUCCUUGCUGAAGAUAUGUAUAAAAACGAAAAAAACAUAAAACUUGUUUUAGAAUUAUCACUACGUGCUGUCCAGGUAGAGCACUGUGCUGGUACACUGUACAACCGGUUUUUAUAUGCUUGACUGUAAAAUAUGUGUGGGCAAAUAUGUGAUAAGAUACUUUAUUGUGCACUCGAAAAUGUUUAUUCGCAUUAAAUUGAUACAAAUGUUAAUUUAAUGAAGUUAACUUUUGAAAAGGAAAAAAAUGUCGCAACAACGUAUAAUGCAUACAGGAAUCUUUUAUUGUGGGUUUAUUUGAAGAACUGAACGAAAGGUUAAUCUGCAGUAAACUGUGAAUGUUGUAAUCCAAAUAAUGACUGUUGAGAAAAAAACAGCAAUAGGAAAUUGUAAAAUGUGUUCAGGUUAUUGCAGAAUUGCCCACAUGUAUUGAAGCCGGUUUUUCUAAAAUUGUGAACAUGCAGUUAUGACGCACGGUCAGAUUAAACUUCCUUUGGUUCCCGGUGUUUUGAUAUACAUGUACUAGUAGUGCGUCUGAUCAGUGAUAGACCCAUAGUUUUAUUGCUGAGAUGGGGUUAUGUUUGUUUUCAGAAAUUCAGACCAUGGGCUGGGUAGCUUUUUUUGAAAUUAAUAUGUUUUUGUUUUUACGACCUUUCGCCUACAUCACAAAUCGGAAAUGUUUAAUGUUCACAAAGAAAAAAGUGAAUUGUAGAAAAAUGUUUCCUUUUGGCAUCUUUUGUCAAUUAAAAUUUACAUGUAGGACUGGCAUUUAUCGCAUCCUUGUACAACUUGAAUUUUUGAAAUAUUCUUAUCAAAUUCGCAUCGAGAACUACAGUUGUCGCGAAGAUGUUUUUUUAAAAGGGGGGUGGGGGUAAUGAACAUUUUAAAAGAAUGGGCUUAACUUUUGUAGACCGUAGCCUAUAUAUUUCUAUAAAAACACGAAAUCAAAUCUGUAUGGAAUAACACGAAAAAGAUUUUUUUUUUUUUUGUAAAAUGAACAUAAAUAUCUAAUUUUAUAUUUGGUACACUGUGGCUUAGAAUUUCUUUUAAUUUAGUCAAUUAAUUGUCAGCUGACUGAAUUAUCGCCUAAAAAUCCUUUUUGUCUGCGUAAUCAAAAAUGAGAAACGAAAACUAUCAGAAAAAUGACACUUUCAUCGGUAAGACGAAAGAUUUUACCAAAAAUUUGCAGGUGGGUGAUUUUUUUAAUGUUGAACUUGUACCUGAUACUUUCUAAAUUCUAUUUUUUCGGUUGGAAUCAAGGGGUGAUUGAGAAGAAAAUGGAAGAUUAGAUGCCAGUCCUGCACGUGCUGUUGGGUUAUUGUUGUUGAAUGUUUCUUGAUCACUGAACACCGGAGACCGUUGAAUUAAUAAGCAUUUUCUGAGUAAAUGUGCUUAGUUAUUUUAAGGAACUUUUUCAAUUUUCUUUACAUCUGAUUAUUAAAAAUGGCUAUGACUGGGAUAGGGUUGUAAACUGACCAUGUCUUCAUGCUGUUCUUGGUUCGCACAACGCGUAUAUUUAAGCGUUCACUCAAAAUUCGAUUUUAAUAUUUACAGAUAAGAAAAGAUGACGCAAAAUAUGACGUACAUAUUUAUUUAUCUAUGAGAAAAGCGCUCAUCAAAUUUACAUAACUGAAUAGUGUUUGACUGCUGUUUGGUGUUGUUUGUGAUCAUCAGCAUGGCGACAUAGAGUUAGUUGUGGCGUGCGGGGGAAACGCUUACAUGAGAUUAUAUGCAUUUUGAAUUUUCGAAAUCGUGACCACCUUUGGAUUUGGAUAAAAAUGUCCCUCGGUGAAAUUUUGGACCAGACAUAAUACAAAUAUACCAAUGUCAACUUUGAACGAUAGUUGUAAAAUAUAUCUCAUCAAAUCUUCAACUUUCUUUUUUAACUCUGGGCAAAAACCUGAGAAUAUCAUGUCGUCUUUAGUGUUCUAGAACACUUUAAAACCAAAGCAAUUGAUAUUGUGCGAUGAUUUUCAAAAUGCAUAAACCCUCCCACACAUUGAUCUAUGGAUAAUUCUAUAUAAGCCUGAUUUAUAUAUCGAUAUGCCAAGUAGUUGUGAAAAUAGCUUUUUAUCUAGAGCCAAAACAUAGUGUUCGGUUUUUGCAUACAUCUUUAUGGUGCAAUUGCUCGUUUUUGUUGUAAUAAACG